GAUGAACGCUGGCGGCGUGCCUAAUACAUGCAAGUCGAGCGAACGGACGAGAAGCUUGCUUCUCUGAUGUUAGCGGCGGACGGGGGAGUAACACGUGGAUAACCUACCUAUAAGACUGGGAUAACUUUGGGAAACCGGAGCUAAUACCGGAUAAUAUUUUGAACCGCAUGGUUCAAAAGUGAAAGACGGUCUUGCUGUCACUUAUAGAUGGAUCCGCGCUGCAUUAGCUAGUUGGUAAGGUAACGGCUUACCAAGGCAACGAUGCAUAGCCGACCUGAGAGGGUGAUCGGCCACACUGGAACUGAGACACGGUCCAGACUCCUACGGGAGGCAGCAGUAGGGAAUCUUCCGCAAUGGGCGAAAGCCUGACGGAGCAACGCCGCGUGAGUGAUGAAGGUCUUCGGAUCGUAAAACUCUGUUAUUAGGGAAGAACAUAUGUGUAAGUAACUGUGCACAUCUUGACGGUACCUAAUCAGAAAGCCACGGCUAACUACGUG
This 497-nucleotide ribosomal RNA is filed under the name uncultured bacterium. RNAcentral describes it as "partial 16S ribosomal RNA". It matches the Rfam family "Bacterial small subunit ribosomal RNA", at positions 28 to 507 of the family's 1533-position model. The record is from RNAcentral.